AUGUUGAAAACUGAUCCAAAGCAUUGGUGUAGAGCAUGGUUCAAAUUAGGUAGCAAUUGUGACUCUGUCGACAAUAAUAUGUGCGAAAGUUUUAACAAGUGGAUAGUAGAAGCUAGGUUUCUCCCAAUUCUUUUCAUGCUAGAGACAAUUAGGAGAAUGGUGAUGGUUAGAAUACAAGAGAACAGAGACAAGUGUGAGAAAUGGGAUGAUCCUAUAUGCCCUAAUAUAAACAAGAAAUUA
This 240-nucleotide ribosomal RNA is filed under the name Triticum aestivum (bread wheat). RNAcentral's name for it is "partial small subunit ribosomal RNA". Lineage: Eukaryota; Viridiplantae; Streptophyta; Magnoliopsida; Poales; Poaceae. The record is from RNAcentral.